CCUACGGGGGACAGCAGUGGGGAAUAUUGGGCAAUGGGCGCAAGCCUGACCCAGCAACGCCGCGUGAAGGAAGAAGGCUUUCGGGUUGUUAACUUCUUUUAAGGGGGAAGAGCAGAAGACGGUACCCCUUGAAUAAGCCACGGCUAACUACGUGCCAGCAGCUGCGGUAAUACGUAGGUGGCAAGCGUUGUCCGGAUUUACUGGGUGUAAAGGGCGUGCAGCCGGAGAGACAAGUCAGAUGUGAAAUCCACGGGCUCAACCCGUGAACUGCAUUUGAAACUGUUUCCCUUGAGUGUCGGAGAGGUAAUCGGAAUGCCUUGUGUAGCGGUGAAAUGCGUAGAUAUAAGGAAGAACACCAGUGGCGAAGGCGGAUUACUGGACGAUAACUGACGGUGAGGCGCGAAAGCGUGGGGAGCAAACAGGAUUAGAUACCCUUGUAGUC
This 442-nucleotide ribosomal RNA is filed under the name uncultured bacterium. RNAcentral describes it as "partial 16S ribosomal RNA". It matches the Rfam family "Bacterial small subunit ribosomal RNA", at positions 338 to 795 of the family's 1533-position model. The record is from RNAcentral.